CGGAAUCUUUCAUUUAGAUGUAAUACCAUUCAUAAAAAAUGUGCGAAACUCAAUAUAUAGUACUUUCAAAAUUUCGACUAACGAUAGAGUGAUAUUUUUGAUACAAAUUUUUCUAAUGCGUGACUCAUUUGAGUCAAUUUAAAAAUCAGUCACUCAAUUGAUACAUUUGGACGAAACGAAUCACCAACUUGAUAUUUAUCCCAAUAAUAAUAAUAAUAUCUUAAUUGCAUUUGAAGGGCCUCAGAGAUCUUGGUGGACAGAUAUCAUCAGAUGGAGCAUAAACCCCAUCAAGAGUAGCAAAUAUCUUUCUUACAUCACCAGCCCACUUUUAAUCAUGAAAAAAUAUUCAAAAAAAAUAAUUUGAAAUAAGGAGAGUUAGAGCAACUCCAACAGCUUACUUAUAUCAUGUCCUAAAUCCAAUUAUAAGGAAUGUGACAUAAAUUAGUGCUCCAGCAGUGUCUUAAGAAUAUGUCCAAUUAUAAGGAAUGUGACAUAAAUUAGUGCUCCAGCAGUGUCUUAAGAAUAUCUUAAAUCACUACGAUCCUCCUUCCAUGCCUUAUUAAUGAGGCACCACUAGCCAUGCCUUAUUUGAUUUCUUUAAUAAAAAAAUCAUCUCUCUCUUAUUGUAACUUAUUUUCUCUCUCUUCCUUCCAUCUUUUAUCAAUCUCUUUCCAAAUUUAUUAUUAUAAUAAUAAUAAGAAAUGAAUUAUAAAGAUCAUUGUUGGAGUUGAAAUACAAAAUCUUGUCCUAAAUCACUAGGAUUCAAUAUUUUAUACUCCCUCCGUCUCCCUGAGUAGUAUACAUUGGGGGACGGGGACGCGGCACGGACUUUAAUGCUCCUGCAAAGUGUAGUUGUGCAAUCUAUUUUUAAAAUUUUUCUUUUCUGAAUUAAAGUUUGGAUGUUAUAUUUUUAUACAAAAAAAGAAAAUCUCAAAAAUAAGUUACGAAACUAUAUUUUAUAAGAGCAUUGAAAUGCGUGUCGAGCAGUUAAAAAGAAAUGUAUAGAAUUAAAUGGGACAGAGGGAGUAAUAUUUAUAAUGAAGACACUAAGACACUGCUGGAGAUGCUCUUAGAUGGUAAACAUGGAUAAUUCAUAGGGAAUAAAAAUGAUUUUUUCAUCACACUUUUCAAGUAUUUUAUAAAAAACAAAUCAAACAAUUUUAUAUACCCUGUCACCAAAGAAUUCUAUUCAGAAAAAUUCAGAGAUAAAGCUAGUAGCAUAUACAUAAAUAAAUACAUAUAUGCUACAUAUCUUUGUCACCUAAGAGAAUCUCCAACUCCAAAAACCCUUAGCUAAAAUUAUACAUGUGACAUCUAGGAGGCAUCUAGAUCACUAGAUAAUACUUAUAAAAAUUAUCUAAAAAUUAUACAACUCCAACCAUGUUUAGUUGACUAUAUUUGUCGAAUCAAAUAAGCCCCGGAAUAUAUUUUUAUACGAGCAAAUUUAUAAAUAAUCUUUUUGAAGCCUAUACAUGUUCUCAUAGCAAAAAAUUUACAUAAUCCAUAUACCCAUCAAUAUAACCAGAGAUUCUCUAACGAUACUUUCGAUGGAACUCGAUUCAGGAAUUGCAAUAGUAGGCUUCGAAAAUACACAAAAUCUUCAUACAAAUCAAAAAAAAAAAUGUAGUUUCCCAACGUCCAAAUGAACCAUUACGAGACGAGUAGCGUGAGAACAAUAUUUUAUAGCAUCACAAGUACAAAUACUUGCAAUUAAAUAAAAAAAAGGAAUUAGUCAAGCAAAUAAAGCACACAAAAGAAAUAUAGACUCGUCACCGUUGUCCAACAUCGAAUUCACUAACGUAAACACUUGUAAAAAUGGAUAUAAGCAUGUUUGUUUGUAAUAUAUAGCUGUUUUUAUGGUCUCCAAACUAAACAGACAGGGAGGAUAUAAAAGAAAAAACAGCACUCUAAAUGUUGCUUCAAGGGAACGAGUCGUUAAGAAACUGAUUUAAUUCUUCGACCAGAUAAAGAAGCCUUUGCUUGUGUCUUGUAUUUUUUAUAAAAGUUUUUUUACCUUGAUCUUUUUUAGUACAAAUUCGGAUCAAUAAUUUUUAUAUUAAAACAAAAAAGAAAUAACCUCACAUGUAUCAUAUCUUUAAAGAUAGACAGUAGUAUUAACUCCAAAUUUUCUUUCAUUUCUCAUUAAAGGCCACAUCUUCAAUAAGUACAUCUACAGUCAUCUUCUACAAUAAUUUUUGACGAAAGAAAAUAAUGUCCACGGAAUGGAUUCAUUAAUUUACAAGUUAUUGUAGUUUUAAAUGGUAUAUCCAUGAUUUUCGAAAUGACAUCGAAUUUAUAUACCAAUGGUUAUUUAUCACCUAUAAAUGGAUAAAAUAGGCCUCAUAAAACAGAUCUCAUUACAAAUUAAAGUGCCACAUUCAAAAAUUAUCUGUUCUCAAAAGAUUUAACUACAACAAUAUGAUUCUUCAAAAAAAAAAACACUAUAACAAUAUGAGAAAUUAUUACAUCCAGCAAAAAAUAUUCAAAAACAUUAGUAUUUGUUCAACUUCAAUAAGCAGGCAGCAACUUAAGGACUUGGUGAAUUAAGCAAGAACUUUCUAACACCAAUGUAGCAGUCAGUUUCAAAGUCACUCACAAAGAAGUAAAAAUUCAUAUAACAUAUAUAUAAUACAAUUCAAAAAAAAAAAAACAAUUAACAUAUUAACUGCAUUAGAAGGGCCUCAGAGAUCUUGGUGGAUAGAUAUCAUCAGAUGGAGUUUAAACUCCAUCAAGAGUAGCAAAUAUCUUUCUUACAUCACCAGCCCCAUUUUAAAUAUCAAAAAAAAUAUUCGAAAACAAUAAUUUGAAAAGGAGAGUCAGAAGUAGCUGGUUGGUAAACAUGGAUAAUUCAUAGGGAAUCCGAAUGAUUUUUUCAUCACACUCUCCAAAUAUUUUACACAAACACAAUUCAAACAAAUGUAUCUACCUUGUCACCAAAGAAUUCUAUUGAGAAUAAUUCGGAGCUAAAGGUAGAAGCACAUACAUAUAUAAAUACAUACAUACUACACAUCUCUAUCGCCUAACGAUAGAUCCCUUAAAUCCACCCGAGUUGGAAUUCGAUUCAGGAAUUGCAAUAUUAGGCUUCAAAUAUACAAAAAAAAAAAAAAAAUCAUACAAAUCAAAUACAAAAAUGUAGUUUCCCAACGUCCAAAUGAACCAUUACGAGACGCACCGGAUAGCGAGGGGAACAUUUAUUCUAGCUUCACAUGAACAAAUAUUUGCAAUUAAAUGAAAUAACAGCAAAUUAAUCAGGAAAGUAAAGCACACAGAAUAAAUCAAAAAAAAAAUAAAGGAGGAUAGAACAACUCAGUCCCUUAGAUGUUCAUUAAAAUUGCGAUCAUAUUCGCACAUCAUUACAGGUCUGUAUAGACUCAUCACCGUUGUCCAACCUCGAAUUCACUAACGUAAGAACUUGUAAGAACAGAUAUAAGCGUGUUUGUUUGUAUGUAUAUAGCUGUUUUGAUGAUCUCCAAACUAAACAGAGAGACAGGGAGAAUCGAAAGAAAAAAACAGCACGCUAAAUGUUGCUUCAAGGGAACGAGUCGGUAAGAAACUGAUUAAUUCUGCCGACCAGAUAAAGAAGCCUUUGGAAAACCAGAUCUGUGAAACAGAAGAUUAGUUACAUGAGAGAGAUAGCGGCGAGAAGAAUGAAAAUAUUAGAACCCUAACUGAGAUUGUAUUGUGCGGAUAGAUGUGAAUUCCAUGUGGCGAGAGGCUUUUGUUUAUAUAGACCAAGCCUGUCACACCUUGGGCUAGGUUACGGUCUUUUUUCUGGUCCAUUGGGUUUGUGGUGUCUCCAGGCCCAGUUUAAGAGAUUAAAGUUGUUUACCUCAUGGCUCAUGGGCCUGUCUACCUUCUUCAGAUAAAUACGCGAGAUAUUUAAUUGAUAUAAUUUAUAUCAAUAUAUUAUAUUUAAUUAAACUCUAACGCAUAAUAUUAUUUUAUGAAAAUUUUUACGCCAAAUUCAACACUAGUAUAAAAUUUUCACUUGAUUUUCAGAAGUCAGUUACGACUUACGACAGACAUGGGAACACCGAACUGCAGCACGUAUAUACGUGUCAAAUUCCAAUAGCCCGCAGCAGACACGUGGAAUUAGCUCUACUUGCGGCUGUUGUUUUUGUUAUGACUCAGCUACUGGUGCCUAAAUGAAUAUACCUUGAUUGGAAAACGACAACUUUUCAACAUAUGGGAUGUCCCAAGUUUUUGGAGCCUCGUUACUACUUUAAAUGGAAACCUCAACCAGAUGCAUGUACAAUUCUUAACUUGAACAACUUAAUCAUGUGCGGAAUUCUAGCAGUUUUGGGUUGCUCUGAUGAUUCUCAGGCCAAAAGGGCUCGUGUUCUUGAGCUCUCCCGCAGGUACUUUUCUACCCACAAUUCAUUAUUUUUUUCUAAUCUCUGAAGUUUUGUUAAAAAUCAGUAAAAAAUUGAUAUUCAGUGCUGUUCAACUCUUGGCUGAACUCCAAAAUUUGAAUAUGUAAUUUGCUGGACCAAUCUUGUUUUAGCCACUGUUUGUAUGAACAUAUGUGUACAAUCAUAUCACAUACUUCUUAAUUUGUGAACUAUUCAGUGUAGCUUGUAAAUUUAUUAGUUAGUAUAGAAGAGAGUCAGAGGCAAAUGUGGUUGAUGCUGAUUUUUAGCUUAUAAUCUUCAUGGAGCACAGACACAAUAAGUUGAUUUAUGUUGCAUAAUCAAACAGACUGAAGCACCGUGGCCCGGAUUGGAGUGGUCUUUACCAGUAUGGUGACUCUUACUUGUCUCAUCAAAGGCUGGCAGUUGUUGAUCCUGAUUCUGGUGAUCAGCCUCUCUACAAUGAAGAUGAAAAGAUUGUGGUCACCGUAAGUCUUUAAGUAAACCUGUUCAAGUAUUCAUUCUUCAUAAAAUUCAAUGUCUUUAUGUAUAUUAACGAAUGUGUUCUGUUUCUGAAACCAGGUGAAUGGAGAAAUAUACAACCACGAGGAACUACGAAAGAGUUUGCCUAAUCACAAAUUCAGAACGGGAAGCGAUUGUGAUGUUAUUGCUCAUCUUGUAAGUGGUGCCCCAAGGAAAUUCUAUAAUUAGAAGUGAAUGGUUGAAAAGAAUUAACAAACAACUCAUUUUGCUGGACAUGAAUAUAAAUCUUUUCCUCCUAAAUCGGAAUAAUCUUUUAAUUACACUUACCUCGGAUGAAAUUUCAGUUUGCAAUGAUUUAACUAAUUUAUGUUAAUGGAAUUUGCUUGCAUUAGUAUGAAGAGCAUGGUGAGAACUUUGUGGACAUGUUAGAUGGAGUGUUCUCCUUUGUGUUACUGGAUACCAGCGAUAAUAGCUUCCUUGCUGCUCGCGAUGCUAUUGGGAUCACUUCGCUAUAUAUUGGUUGGGGACUUGAUGGUAAUCUCUUCUGGUUAAGUUAAAAAUUUGAGAUAAUUGGAGAUGAAAAAUGAUACUUUAUAAAAAAAGAAGAAAAAUUAUACUUUGAAUUAGUUCUAUAAUAUGAUUUUAUUUCCUGUCUUUAGGAUCAAUAUGGAUUUCUUCUGAAAUGAAAGGCUUAAACGAUGACUGCGAACACUUUGAGGCCUUUCCGCCAGGACACUUGUAUUCUAGCAAGAGAGGAGGUCUUAAAAGAUGGUACAAUCCCACUUGGUUCUCUGAAGCAGUUCCAUCAGCUCCAUAUGAUCCAAUUGUUCUAAGAAAUGCAUUCGAAAAUGUGAGGCUCUUUUGUAUAAUUAUAUUACAAUCAUGAUAAUAUUGACGAGCAUAGGCUUACAAUGAUAACUAAUGUCAUGUAUACAAAUAUCUGCAGGCUGUGGUCAAAAGACUGAUGACUGAUGUACCAUUUGGAGUUUUGUUAUCUGGUGGUCUUGACUCAUCGUUAGUUGCUUCCAUUGCAGCUCGUCAUUUUGCAGGCACUAAAGCUGCCAAACUAUGUGAAACACAGCUUCAAUCCUUCUGUGUUGGCCUUGAGGUAUACCUGUUGCUUUAAUGACAGAUAACUGUAAAUUGUUUUAAAGUACUUUAGUCUUCCCUAUGCUUCACAUCAUUUAUGGGACAGGGAUCACCAGAUUUGAAGGCUGGAAAGGAAGUUGCUGAUUAUUUGGGAACUGCUCACCAUGAGUUUCAUUUCACUGUCCAGGUAUUUGACAAACCACUGUAUAUCAUGCUUAUUGCAUCUAGGUAUUAUUAUAAUUGACGAGGUCUAGUUUUAAUUAGUUCUUACUCGGCAGGAUGGCAUAGAUGCAAUUGAGGAUGUUAUUUAUCAUAUUGAAACUUAUGAUGUAACGACAAUUAGAGCCAGCACUCCUAUGUUUCUUAUGUCACGUAAAAUCAAGUCGCUAGGAGUGAAAAUGGUCAUUUCCGGUGAAGGUUCUGAUGAAAUUUUUGGGGGAUACUUGUACUUUCACAAAGCUCCCAACAAAGAAGAAUUUCACCGCGAGACAUGUCAGAAGGUAAUAGACUUGAUUAUUUUUAUUAUAUUUUAUUAUUAUAGAAACAGUUCUGUUUAAGAGUAUAAAUUCUCCACUGAAGAAAUUAUUGUUAUUGCAUUUUAAUAUGCAGAUAAAAGCCCUCCACCAAUAUGAUUGCUUGAGAGCAAACAAAGCAACAUCUGCUUGGGGUUUAGAAGCUCGGGUUCCGUUUCUGGAUAAGGAAUUCAUCAAUGUUGUAAUGAGUAUUGAUCCUGAGUGGAAGAUGGUAACGAACAACUUCCAUCCUGCUGUCUUGUUUUCAAUAACUAUUGCUUGCCAAAUUAGAGACUUCAUUGGCGAAAUAGAGAACUUCAGUUUAGAUAUGAAUGUGUCCUCAUAUUUCAGAUUAAGCCGGAGGAAAAACGAAUCGAGAAGUGGAUACUGAGGAAGGCCUUUGAUGAUGAAGAACAUUCUUAUUUGCCUAAGGUUUGAACAAAUGACUUGCCUUUGUUUACAUAACUAUCUGUUGAUCAGAGCAAGCUGUGAUGGAUGUAUUAUUGUGUUUCACAGCAUAUUCUAUAUAGGCAGAAAGAGCAGUUUAGUGAUGGUGUUGGCUACAGUUGGAUCGACGGCCUUAAAGCUCAUGCUGAACUACAUGUAUUGCAUCCUCUCUGAACUUAUUAAAUAUUUUCAUUAUUGGCAUCUGAAAUAAGCUCAUUCUGAAUACCAUUCAGGUCAGUGACAAAAUGAUGCUGAAUGCUCCUAAUAUCUUCCCGCACAAUACCCCUGCCACAAAGGAAGCAUAUUACUACAGAAUGAUUUUUGAGAGAUUCUUUCCACAGGUGAUUGAGAUUAGUUACAUUGUCAUAAAUAGUACAACGUUUCAAGUCAAUUAGAAGUUCUGGUAACCUAUUCGUCUAUGUAUUUAAUUUGUUGAAGCAGAAAUCAGCAAUAUUGACCGUCCCUGGUGGAGCAAGCAUAGCUUGCAGUACAGCAAGGGCUGUUGAGUGGGAUGCUUCAUGGUCAAGUAACCUUGAUCCGUCUGGUCGGGCUGCACUUGGGAUCCAUGAUUCAGCAUAUGAGACAAAAUUGUCAUCCACUGUGAACACUAAUUUGGCUACAAAGAUUGUUGACACUGUGCCUCAGAUGAUGGAACGAAGCUCAACCCAAGUCACGAUUCAAAGCUAGUUCUCCCAUUUCGGGGAAUCCACUUAUGUGAUAGAGUUGAUCUAUCUGCAUAGAAGUUGAAGCAAGUAUCUAAUAUAUGCAGCUAUGUGAACUAUGCAGGCGCCAUGCAGAGUGAAUAAACUACCUAUUUUUGGUAAUGCUCGUUCUAUAGGUAAGACUCUGGUGGUGCGCGCGUUAUUCUUCAAGCAGUAUGUUCUUUGUAAGUUGUGCAUCUUGUUCAAGCCUCACCUACAAAUCUUGGACCUUUGAUGUUUAUAUUUUCCUGUUGGAUCAAUCUAGUAUGUUUGGUGGUUCUAUCAGACUCUGGUCCUGUAAGUUGUAAUGGCAGUUUACACUUUGUUAGUGCCCAAGCCUGAAGCCUGGUUUGUAUCUUUACUGCUUUGCAUUAUUAUAUUCCUGAGAAAUAUCUUACAACUUGUGACAAUAGUGCAGUUGAUUACUCUCUAUAAAUUUUUGGUUCUUAUCUUAAACUCUCCCCACAUGAAAAAUGUUUAAUUUUAUUAAAAUACCGAAAGUGAUACUUCCAUAACAUGCAAAUGUUACUGCUUGCCAGUUGCAAGUCAUUUUCAUUGAUAGUCACUUAUAUUGACCAAGCCUCUGGCAUAAUAUAAACAAGACACGAGUCCGUGAACAACACAGCUUCUUAGAAGUUAUUUCUUUAGAUUAUGAAAAUAAUACAUCUCCAGAUUUCUUUUUCUUGGAGAAACAGAGUGAACAUUACAGCUAUAUAAACAGAUAUAUUUUUAUGUAAACAGCCUCUAUUUUAGAUCAUAUGAUAUUUAGAAAAAUUAAUGAGAAAACAUGACUAGAUACAAAUGGUAAUAUAGUGAGCUAAAUCAUUGAUAAAACAGUGCAGUAUAGAAGAGCUGAUUCCAAGUAUCAGGUAAUCCAGGGAGGCACCAGUGACUACAAUCAGCAGAAUGGUCAGGAUUGGCUCUCUGUUCCGGGCUCAAAUCGCCACUGUAAAUAGACGGAUGCGCGUCUUUACGCAUAGCAGAGAGCAUAGUUAUGUCAAGUAUAUAAGCUGGGUUACUCAUGUUCCUUAUCACUGCAUCAAGGACCUUCAUUUGGCCUGGAUACGCGCCUGGGUAAGCUGUGCCACUCAUUGGUGUUUUCUCACCGUAGCAACUUUUGGCCACUGAGGUUGCGCCUGCACUCCACUCUGACGGGCUGCAAAUUCAAUCAAAUCACGAUCAUUAUCUUGUAUAAAUGGCCGUUCUUACAAUCAGUUGUGAUCAAGGGACUAAGCUUAAACUCAAUCACGGUUAUGCAAACAACAAAAUGUUCAACAGAAAAUGCCUAGUAGAUCAAGUCAAUCUCAAUUAAAUGUAUAUAAAAAGAUAAAUUCGAAUCAAACUAGGUCAAUAAAAGAAAGGAUCGGAACAAAUGCAUUUGGGUGAAUAUUGUAUUGGCUGUACAAUUUAUUUGUCACUAUCAGGCAAGUUCACAUGUGAGUAUAUCACCGACGAAACAAGUGGUUAAAAAUAGGACUAAAUAACAGAGCAAAAAGAGCGGCUCCAUUUUCUUUUUCGAUGGAGACAGAUUUAACAGCAAGUGAUCACUGCCCCCAUAAUCUGUACAAUUAUACAUAUCAUCUCUGAUAUGCAAGGUCGACUUCAUAUUUUACUUUACUAUAUGAGGACAUAAAUCCAAAGACUUUGGUGAUGCCUCUCCAAAGUCCUAUUUAUUUUUCACUAGUAGGUGAUAAGUGAGUAUAACAUUAAGGGGGCGUAUUCAACUGGAAUUUCGGGUUUGAUCAUCGUAACUUUGCAUUAUCUUUAUUUAAGUUUCCCACCUAAUGGGAUUUGAAUUUAGAAAAGAUGGCGAACUGGAGACAGGCUGCAAUGUAGGGAAAGCAAUGAAUAAGGAAAGUUAUGGACUAGUCAGUUGAGAAAGUGGAUUAGGUAAUAAUCAUAGGCCCGGCCAUUGGCAAGUUGCAUUCUAAUUAGUGAUUACAGCUACGAUGUUGGACCCUGCAAUCCCCAGUUGGUCCUUUUUGUUUUUUAUCUCCUUGUCUGUGUGUUGUGUAGGGAUGACAAUCCUGAUCCGAGCUAGACCCCUUUAUCAAGAGUAACAAAAUCCGAAAAUGACGCGAAGAUAACUUGAGUAGUAACGGAAUGACACAUUUAUGUAAUAAUUAUUACUUCGAACUAAUAGCACAAGUUCAUCAUCAAGUUUAAAAAUAUCAGAAGAACGAGAAUUUAACACAUUUACGACCAAGAACACGACCUGAAAGUUAAAACUGACGCAUCUAAGUUUAUGUGCGUUAUAUGCAGGAUUUAAAGAUAAAGAGGUGAGUAGGGAUAAAGGAAAAAGUAUAUAUCUAUGAACAUACUUGUAGUGUGUGGGAGAGAUGGAUUGAAAGAAAACUCUGGUUUUGCUUUUGUCAACAUUUGCAUCAACCCAUUUUGCCCAUGUCCUCAGUCCUCUUUCUAAGGCAACCAAUCGUUCCAUAUCUUGGUACAACUGCCCCUCCGCUUCCAUAUAGUCCCACCUGCAUAUUUAACAUGGCACACUUUUACCCCCUCUUCUCUAUAAAAUCGCAAUUCUAACUUCAUUUACAGAAACAAUCAAACAGCAAGUCGUUUACAAAAUUGUUAAAACUUAGAGCUAUAACUAUGAUGGCCCAACCAAAUAAUGUUCAUGUCCAAAGGGUCAUUUAUUUAUUUAAAUGCUUCUGUGCUCUUAAAACGAACUCAAUUCCACCAAGGCAAACUUAAUGUGUCCAUAUAAUUUGAUCACCUAACAAGUUCUCGAUUUCUCCUAGCUGUCUACAUUAAAGUUUUCCCAGUACGUGAAGCUCCAGCAUGCCAACUAAAGAGACAUAUAUACUAGCAAGGCUUAAAACUCCUUUAUAACAAUUUGAUUAGGGAAGAAUUAUCUGUGUCAACAAUUUACACAAGUUUUUAUGUACCAUGAACAUGCUUCUAUAAGGUCCACAAUUAAGGUCUGUGUGAAUAUUUAAAUUUCCGUAAAUUCAUCCAAAACCAAAAAAGACUAAAUUAGCAAGGAAUAAUUUGUUGGCACACAAGGUAGGCUAUAACUUGCUCACCCUUGAAGAGAUCCUUUGUGUGUCCACCAGUGACCCGUAUUAAACGACAGCACAUCUGCAUUUUUCCAGGCACCUCCAUUUUUCGACAUAUCUUCCAAUUUCAAUAUUCUUUUUCCUUGCACUAAAUCAAUAUCCACCAAAUAGGGUGCUCUGUAAAACUGAACUGCCACACCAUACUCCUGCAACAUACCAUAACAAAACCCCAAUUAUCCCCUGUUUGGAUGGCUCCAUUAUUCCAACCAAUCAUCAUGAUCAAGUCGACCAAAUAAAUAAAGCAAAUGCAUAGUAAUUAGUAUAGCAUGCUUUUGUAGAAACUUACAAUAAACUUAAAGCUUGAGAAAGGAUCUCCCCUAAUGAACUGAGUUGGUGAACGAGGCACACUCGCUGAUAUCAUACAUAUCAGUGAUUCCCAUUGGUUUCGGCCUAAUGAAUCACCCACAAACAUUAUAUUCUUCCCUCUCAUUUUUAUCAAAAACUCCUCCCCGUCAAACCUGCUUAUACAAACACGUCAGAAUAAUAUACG
This 11142-nucleotide long non-coding RNA is filed under the name Daucus carota (carrot). RNAcentral's name for it is "long non-coding RNA (DCAR_LNC001460)". The record is from RNAcentral. Lineage: Eukaryota; Viridiplantae; Streptophyta; Magnoliopsida; Apiales; Apiaceae.